UACGUAGGUGGCAAGCGUUAUCCGAAUUUACUGGGUGUAAAGGGCGUGUAGGCGGGACUGCAAGUCAGAUGUGAAAAUUAUGGGCUCAACCCAUAACCUGCAUUUGAAACUGUAGUUCUUGAGUGAUGGAGAGGCAGGCGGAAUUCCGUGUGUAGCGGUGAAAUGCGUAGAUAUACGGAGGAACACCAGUGGCGAAGGCGGCCUGCUGGACAUUAACUGACGCUGAGGCGCGAAAGCGUGGGGAGCAAACAGG
Molecule: ribosomal RNA, 253 nt
Filed under: uncultured bacterium
Lineage: Bacteria
Description: partial 16S ribosomal RNA
Rfam family: Bacterial small subunit ribosomal RNA
Source: RNAcentral